AGAAUCAACGCUGGCGGCGUGCCUAACACAUGCAAGUCGAACGCGAAAGUCCCGCAAGGGAUUAGUAGAGUGGCAAACGGGUGAGUAACGCGUGGGUGACCUGCCUUCGAGUGGGGGAUAACGUUCCGAAAGGGACGCUAAUACCGCAUAACAUCCUGCCUUUUAAGAGGUGGACAUCAAAGCCUGGGACCGCAAGGCCAGGCGCUUGAAGAGGGCCCGCGUCUGAUUAGCUAGUUGGUGGGUAAUGGCUCACCAAGGCAUCGAUCAGUA
This 270-nucleotide ribosomal RNA is filed under the name uncultured bacterium. RNAcentral's name for it is "partial small subunit ribosomal RNA". It matches the Rfam family "Bacterial small subunit ribosomal RNA", at positions 26 to 285 of the family's 1533-position model. The record is from RNAcentral.